Molecule: ribosomal RNA, 459 nt
Filed under: uncultured bacterium
Lineage: Bacteria
Description: partial 16S ribosomal RNA
Rfam family: Bacterial small subunit ribosomal RNA
Source: RNAcentral
CCUACGGGGGGCAGCAGUGAGGAAUAUUGGUCAAUGGCCGGAAGGCUGAACCAGCCAAGCCGCGUGAGGGACGAAGGUGCCAAGCAUUGUAAACUUCUUUUGUCAAGGGACAAUAUCAGGCACGAGAGCCUGACCGAGGGUACUUGAAGAAAAAGCAUCGGCUAACUCCGUUCCAGCAGCCGCGGUAAUACGGAGGAUGCGAGCGUUUUCCGGAUUUUUUGGGUUUAAAGGGUGCGUAGGCGGGCUUUUAAGUCAGCGGUAAAAGUCCGGGGCUCAACCCCGGCGAGCCGUUGAAAAUGGCUGUCUUGAGAUGUCGAGAGGUAUGCGGAAUGCGCAGUGUAGCGGUGAAAUGCUUAGAUAUUGCGCAGAACUCCGAUUGCGAAGGCAGCAUACCGGCGGCGAUCUGACGCUGAGGCACGAAAGCGUGGGUAUCGAACAGGAUUAGAUACCCUUGUAGUC